RNAcentral lists this ribosomal RNA (465 nucleotides) under uncultured bacterium. Its description in RNAcentral is "partial 16S ribosomal RNA". It matches the Rfam family "Bacterial small subunit ribosomal RNA", at positions 338 to 795 of the family's 1533-position model. The record is from RNAcentral.
CCUACGGGAGGCAGCAGUAGGGAAUCUUCCACAAUGGGCGAAAGCCUGAUGGAGCAACGCCGCGUGGGUGAAGAAGGUCUUCGGAUCGUAAAACCCUGUUGUUAGAGAAGAAAGUGCGUGAGAGUCACUGUUCACGUUUCGACGGUAUCUAACCAGAAAGCCACGGCUAACUACGUGCCAGCAGCCGCGGUAAUACGUAGGUGGCAAGCGUUAUCCGGAUUGAUUGGGCGUAAAGGGAACGCAGGCGGUCUUUUAAGUCUGAUGUGAAAGCCUUCGGCUUAACCGGAGUAGUGCAUUGGAAACGGGGAGACUUGAGUGCAGAAGAGGAGAGUGGAACUCCAUGUGUAGCGGUGAAAUGCGUAGAUAUAUGGAAGAACACCAGUGGCGAAAGCGGCUCUCUGGUCUGUAACUGACGCUGAGGUUCGAAAGCGUGGGUAGCAAACAGGAUUAGAUACCCUUGUAGUC